This 795-nucleotide ribosomal RNA is filed under the name Bacillus subtilis. RNAcentral describes it as "bacterial SSU rRNA". It matches the Rfam family "Bacterial small subunit ribosomal RNA", at positions 56 to 836 of the family's 1533-position model. Lineage: Bacteria; Bacillati; Bacillota; Bacilli; Caryophanales; Bacillaceae. The record is from RNAcentral.
UGCAAGUCGAGCGGACAGAUGGGAGCUUGCUCCCUGAUGUUAGCGGCGGACGGGUGAGUAACACGUGGGUAACCUGCCUGUAAGACUGGGAUAACUCCGGGAAACCGGGGCUAAUACCGGAUGGUUGUUUGAACCGCAUGGUUCAAACAUAAAAGGUGGCUUCGGCUACCACUUACAGAUGGACCCGCGGCGCAUUAGCUAGUUGGUGAGGUAACGGCUCACCAAGGCAACGAUGCGUAGCCGACCUGAGAGGGUGAUCGGCCACACUGGGACUGAGACACGGCCCAGACUCCUACGGGAGGCAGCAGUAGGGAAUCUUCCGCAAUGGACGAAAGUCUGACGGAGCAACGCCGCGUGAGUGAUGAAGGUUUUCGGAUCGUAAAGCUCUGUUGUUAGGGAAGAACAAGUACCGUUCGAAUAGGGCGGUACCUUGACGGUACCUAACCAGAAAGCCACGGCUAACUACGUGCCAGCAGCCGCGGUAAUACGUAGGUGGCAAGCGUUGUCCGGAAUUAUUGGGCGUAAAGGGCUCGCAGGCGGUUUCUUAAGUCUGAUGUGAAAGCCCCCGGCUCAACCGGGGAGGGUCAUUGGAAACUGGGGAACUUGAGUGCAGAAGAGGAGAGUGGAAUUCCACGUGUAGCGGUGAAAUGCGUAGAGAUGUGGAGGAACACCAGUGGCAAGGCGACUCUCUGGUCUGUAACUGACGCUGAGAGCGAAAGCGUGGGGAGCGAACAGGAAUACAUACCCUGGUGGUCCACCCCGUAACGAUGAGUGCUAGAGUUUAAGGGGGAUUUC